RNAcentral lists this ribosomal RNA (254 nucleotides) under uncultured bacterium. RNAcentral describes it as "partial 16S ribosomal RNA". It matches the Rfam family "Bacterial small subunit ribosomal RNA", at positions 524 to 776 of the family's 1533-position model. The record is from RNAcentral.
UACGAAGGGGGGCUAGCGUUGUUCGGAAUUACUGGGCGUAAAGCGCACGUAGGCGGAUACUUAAGUCAGGGGUGAAAUCCCGGGGCUCAACUCCGGAACUGCCUUUGAUACUGGGUAUCUCGAGUCCGGAAGAGGUGAGUGGAAUUCCGAGUGUAGAGGUGAAAUUCGUAGAUAUUCGGAGGAACACCAGUGGCGAAGGCGGCUCACUGGUCCGGUACUGACGCUGAGGUGCGAAAGCGUGGGGAGCAAACAGG